AUACGGAAGAUGCGAGCGUUAUCCGGAUUUAUUGGGUUUAAAGGGAGCGUAGGCGGAUUGUUAAGUCAGCGGUCAAAUGUCGGUGCCCAACAUCGUCCUUCCGUUGAAACUGGCAGUCUUGAAUGCACACAGGGAAGGUGGAAUUCGUCGUGUAGCGGUGAAAUGCUUAGAUAUGACGAGGAACUCCGAUCGCGAAGGCAUCCUUCUGGAGUGCGAUUGACGCUGAGGCGCGAAAGCGCGGGUAUCAAACAGGAUUAGAUACCCUGGUAGUCCUCGCCGUAAACGAUGGAUGCUCGUCAUUGGGGCGUUAGUUUCAGUGACCAAGCGAAAGCAUUAAGCAUCCCGCCUGGGGAGUACGCCGGCAACGGUGAAACUCAAAGGAAUUGGCGGGG
Molecule: ribosomal RNA, 392 nt
Filed under: uncultured bacterium
Lineage: Bacteria
Description: partial 16S ribosomal RNA
Rfam family: Bacterial small subunit ribosomal RNA
Source: RNAcentral